GUGGUUUUAUUUCNAGCAACGCGAAGAACCUUACCAGGUCUUGACAUACCCCUAAAGGCUCUAGAGAUAGAGAGAUAGAUAUAGAGGAUACAGGUGGUGCAUGGUGGUCGUCAGCUCGUGUCGUGAGAUGUUGGGUUUAAGUCCCGCAACGAGCGCAACCCUUGUCGUUAGUUACCAUCAUUAAGUUGGGGACUCUAGCGAGACUGCCAGUGACAAACUGGAGGAAGGCGGGGAUGACGUCAAAUCAUCAUGCCCCUUAUGACCUGGGCUACACACGUGCUACAAUGGACGGAGCAGAGGGAAGCGAACCUGUGAGGGGGAGCAAAACCCAGAAAACCGUUCUCAGUUCGGAUUGUAGUCUGCAACUCGACUACAUGAAGUUGGAAUCACUAGUAAUCGCGAAUCAGAAUGUCGCGGUGAAUACGUUCUCGGGCCUUGUACACACCGCCCGUCACACCAUGAGAGUUGAUAACACCCGAAGCCGGUGGCCUAACCUGAUUACAGGAGGGAGCUGUCUAAGGUGGGAUUGAUGAUUAGGGUGAAGUCGUAACAAGGUAACC
This 560-nucleotide ribosomal RNA is filed under the name uncultured Bacillota bacterium. RNAcentral describes it as "bacterial SSU rRNA". It matches the Rfam family "Bacterial small subunit ribosomal RNA", at positions 941 to 1501 of the family's 1533-position model. The record is from RNAcentral. Lineage: Bacteria; Bacillati; Bacillota.